CUGCAGUUAUCGGAGCUGCCGUUAUCUAUGAUUAUGUCGACUGUCUUUCCUCCCACAGUCCCUCGAGUCCGAAACAGAUUAUGUCGCUGGUCUGUGUUCAUCACUUUGGGCGUUAAACACGAUCGAUGUAUGAUACAUGAUAAAUGGUUGCCGACAUCCGGGAAGACUUGUUCUGUUUCAUCCUCCGAUUCCGGUCUUCCUUCCUGCUCCGGUUCCUCACCCUCACAUAUGUGUAUUCCUCGACGCCGCGGACAGACGUUAGACUUGUGUCUGACCUCUUGGCACCGGUAACACUUAAUUACUUGGUUGUACGGAUUCUCUGGUGGUGCUUUUCUAUCCUUCGGCUUUUCUAGAAUUUCGGUUGUUGGCACGGGUGUCGUUCUCGACGAUUCUCCAAUGGCUAGUUCCCUGAACGAUAUUGAAUAACGAGUAGGUCGAAUAGUCAGUUUCUCAAUUUCCACAGCUCUACUGAUCUACUCUUCUAAUGAUGGGGUUGGAUUGACUAUUAAUUUUUCUUGAAUCUGUUGUUUCAGACCACCAACGAAUCUAGCGAUUUUUUGGUCUUGAUUUUCUCCAAGGUUAUGAGAUGCUAGUCAGUGAUAUUCUUGAGUAUAUUCUGCCACUGAAUUCCCUGUUUACAAUUUUGAUACUGAGUCAAUAGUUGUCUUCCAUAGUUUG
RNAcentral lists this long non-coding RNA (678 nucleotides) under Zostera marina. Its description in RNAcentral is "long non-coding RNA (ZMAR_LNC002926)". The record is from RNAcentral. Lineage: Eukaryota; Viridiplantae; Streptophyta; Magnoliopsida; Alismatales; Zosteraceae.